This 264-nucleotide ribosomal RNA is filed under the name uncultured bacterium. RNAcentral describes it as "partial 16S ribosomal RNA". It matches the Rfam family "Bacterial small subunit ribosomal RNA", at positions 355 to 612 of the family's 1533-position model. The record is from RNAcentral.
UGGGGAAUAUUGCACAAUGGGCGCAAGCCUGAUGCAGCCAUGCCGCGUGUGUGAAGAAGGCCUUCGGGUUGUAAAGCACUUUCAGCGAGGAGGAAGGGUAGUGUGUUAAUAGCACAUUGCAUUGACGUUACUCGCAGAAGAAGCACCGGCUAACUCCGUGCCAGCAGCCGCGGUAAUACGGAGGGUGCAAGCGUUAAUCGGAAUUACUGGGCGUAAAGCGCACGCAGGCGGUUUGUUAAGUCAGAUGUGAAUCCCCGCGCUUAC